RNAcentral lists this small RNA (577 nucleotides) under Pongo abelii (Sumatran orangutan). RNAcentral's name for it is "processed transcript". Lineage: Eukaryota; Metazoa; Chordata; Mammalia; Primates; Hominidae. The record is from RNAcentral.
GAAUUAUCUUCCUACUUCAGGAUGAAGUCUUGGAGCUGUUGUGGCAUCCAGACCCUGGAUUUUGGGGCAUUCUUGGCACAGCCAGGGUGCAGAGUUGGUAGACAUGACUGGGGGAAGCAGCUCCCAGCAUCUUGCCGCCAUGAUUGGCACCAGACAGAUUCCUUAGUAGUGGUGACUGUAUAUGGCCAGAUUCCACUUCCUGCGUUUAACUGGGUGAAGGCCAGUCAAACUGAGCUUCAUGUCCACAUUGUCUUUGAUGGUAACCGUGUGUUCCAAGCACAGAUGAAGCUCUGGGGGGUAAGUGAAGACCAGGGGACACAAAAGCGGGAGGCAGAUGGGUGAAAGAGUGGCUAGACUGGAAUAGAGGGUGUCUUGAGGGAAGGAGUUGUACCAGGAAAAUGGAGGUUUUCUCUUCAUUUGCUUUCAUUUUCUCUCUCUCUCCUGCUCUUCCUGUUUCCCUCUUUCCCUCCCCUCUUCCUUCUCCCUUUUCAUCUCUCAUUUCUUUCCUCUCUCUCCCUUAUUGUCUUAUUCCUCUCUUACCUUUUUUCUCACCUUAUUUAUUAAAAUUUUCUCUCUC